RNAcentral lists this RNase P RNA (388 nucleotides) under Schleiferiaceae bacterium. RNAcentral's name for it is "RNase P RNA component class A". It matches the Rfam family "Bacterial RNase P class A". Rfam says of the family: Ribonuclease P (RNase P) is a ubiquitous endoribonuclease, found in archaea, bacteria and eukarya as well as chloroplasts and mitochondria. Its best characterised activity is the generation of mature 5'-ends of tRNAs by cleaving the 5'-leader elements of precursor-tRNAs. Cellular RNase Ps are ribonucleoproteins. Lineage: Bacteria; Pseudomonadati; Bacteroidota; Flavobacteriia; Flavobacteriales; Schleiferiaceae. The record is from RNAcentral.
CGCACACUCCGCCUUGCCGCUGCCCAGCAAUGGGGAGAGGAAAGUCUGGACAACACAGGGCACCGCUCUUCCUAACGGGAAGGGGGCAGUCUCGGAAGGGAAUGCCUACAGCCAGUGCCGCAGAAAGGGAUACCGCCGGUGCUUGCGCCGGUAAGGGUGAAAAGGUGGGGUAAGAGCCCACCAGUGCGGGCAGCAAUGUUCGCAGCUUGGUAAACCUAGCGGGUUGAAAUGCCAUGUAAACCAACGACGGUGCUGCGUGCAGUGCUGAGAGGGCGGCCCGCCCGAGUUGGAGGGUAGGCAGAUGGAGCCAGCCGGUGACGGUUGGUCUAGAUCAAUGGCAAGGGCCUCUUUGGAGGUACAGAAUCCGGCUUACAGGAGUGUGCGCUUU